UGUGUGUGUGUUGAUCUCCAGGCGACCAAACAAGGGGAAACCCUAGUUCUUCCUUAAAUCACCAAAUUGGAAGGGAAAUCGAAGCUUAAAUUCAUGAAUAAACGCGUAUAAACGAUCACCAAGUCAUGGAGAUCACAAGUUUGAUCUCGUCAAGCUAAGUUGGAGCUGGAAAGGAAUGGAUCAAACGGGUCAAGUGCGCAAGGAAAGCUCGAACGGACGCAAACUGAACGAAUAGCAAUUUGGAUAAUUGCGUCAUCAUAGAAUAUUGAAUUAAUAAUAGCAAGGUAUAAACGGGUCUAUACGUUGACUCGAGCCAGGUACGCUUAUAUAUAGAUUUAUAGUUAAAAGUGUUUAACUUCCCUUAACGGGUCAAAAGGAGUAGAUAGGUAAAACGGGUUAAGAAUUCAUAAGAAACUCGUAAUUUGAACCUUGCACAUUAGUAACUUGAUAUAAUGUGAUAUGCAUGAUAUUUUGAAAAGGUAAUAAACAAGUUUGUUUGAUAAAUCACGAACGAGUCAAAAAGUGUCAUAAAUUGAAUUUCAAGCCGAGAGCUUGAAAGUUAAAAUUUUGUGAAUUUAGAUUUCGGGGUUUCACUCCGUAAGAUGGAGAAUUAAAUUACGAAUGCGUAGGAAAAAGAAUCGCGAAAAACAGACUUGUAGAAGGAAAGUUAUGCACCUUAGAAGUUGAAAAAUUGAAAGAAAAUAGUGCUGGGCAAAAGUGCAGGAUUUUAACCUGCACCCGCUGGAAAACGGUCUUCCCCGCGACACGCGAAGGGAGUCACUUGUUCUGGCGCGACACGCCGGCACGCUCGCGGCCCGCGAAGGAUUGAAAGGAAUCUGUCGUGUGGCGUGAUAGAUCAAAAAUCUGAAAUUUUAUUUUUUUUGUUAUUUGUAUGAUACCGGAACUUGUUUUUACAUGUUAUAAAGUAGUCAAAACUAACAAUUGAUGUGGUUUUGACCUUAGGUGAUGUUCGUCUCAUUUCGGACGCCGAUCAAGCAAGAAUUCAAGAACCGAACACAAAGUUUUGAAGCUUUCGCACUAAUCUAAUCUUGUUUUAGACAAUGUUUAUUUGUAAACACUAAACUCAAUGUUGUAUGUUUUAACUAGUUAGUUUGUAAACUAGAAUACCAUAACCUUGUAAACUUAGUUUUUAUAACUAUGUUUUGAAAUGAUGCAUUUUGAAAUUAAAAAGAAAAAAA
Molecule: long non-coding RNA, 1199 nt
Organism: Helianthus annuus (common sunflower)
Lineage: Eukaryota; Viridiplantae; Streptophyta; Magnoliopsida; Asterales; Asteraceae
Exons: 3
Source: RefSeq, a predicted model, not a curated record